CCUACGGGUGGCAGCAGUGGGGAAUAUUGCGCAAUGGGCGAAAGCCUGACGCAGCGACGCCGCGUGAGGGAUGAAGGUCUUCGGAUCGGAAACCUCUGUCAGCAGGGAAGAACGGUCACUGUGCUAAGCAGCAGUGAAUUGACGGUACCUGCAAAGGAAGCACCGGCUAACUCCGUGCCAGCAGCCGCGGUAAUACGGAGGGUGCGAGCGUUAAUCGGAUUGACUGGGCGGAAAGGGCUCGUAGGCGGGUUGUCAAGUCAAGGGUGAACUCCCCGCGCUCAACGUGGGAACUGCCUUUGAAACUGGCAACCUGGAGUGUGUGAGAGGAUAGUGGAAUUCCAGGUGU
This 346-nucleotide ribosomal RNA is filed under the name uncultured bacterium. RNAcentral describes it as "partial 16S ribosomal RNA". It matches the Rfam family "Bacterial small subunit ribosomal RNA", at positions 338 to 676 of the family's 1533-position model. The record is from RNAcentral.